Molecule: ribosomal RNA, 469 nt
Filed under: uncultured bacterium
Lineage: Bacteria
Description: bacterial SSU rRNA
Rfam family: Bacterial small subunit ribosomal RNA
Source: RNAcentral
AAUGAACGCUGGCGGCAGGCCUAACACAUGCAAGUCGAACGGAGUUAUAUUAUAGCUUGCUAUGGUAUAACUUAGUGGCAGACGGGUGAGUAAUGUAUAGGAAUCUACCUAGUAGUACGGAAUAAUUGUUGGAAACGGCAACUAAUACCGUAUACGCCCUACGGGGGAAAAAUUUAUUGCUAUUAGAUGAGCCUAUAUUAGAUUAGCUAGUUGGUGGAGUAAUAGCCUACCAAGGCAAUGAUCUAUAGCUGAUCUGAGAGGAUGAUCAGCCACACUGGAACUGAGAUACGGUCCAGACUUCUACGGGAGGCAGCAGUGGGGAAUAUUGGACAAUGGGCGAAAGCCUGAUCCAGCCAUGUCGCAUGAGUGAAGAAGGCCUUUGGGUUGUAAAGCUCUUUUAGUGAGGAAGAUAAUGACGGUACUCACAGAAGAAGUCCUGGCUAACUCCGUGCCAGCCGCCGCAGUAAAA